AUGUACCAGAAGUACGUUGCCGAGUUGGACACGAUUACGCCUGAGCAGGUGGAAUGGCAGCCAUAUGGCGCCGAUGAUAGACUUGGGUACACCCCGGAGUUUAGCAUCAACCCGAUGUGCUUGCGGGAUAGGGAUCUCUGGCUUAUGCGGUGCCCACUGAUAUGCAACUGGGCUGUUGAGUUUCAUUUGCCACAUCGCGUGUUUCGUCAGUUUGGUCUGUUCCAGCCUCACCCGCCGGAAUGGGUGGAUACGGACAAAGCACUUCAUAGGUUGGACAGGAGAAGGCAGCGGAAGAUAAAGGACUGGGACAAGCAUCAUGCUUCAUAUGUUACCCGCUUCCAGCUUUGCGUGGAGCAAGCUCGUAGCAGUGCACGCGCCCAGCUUCGUGAGCAUAACCCAAUUGCUUUUGAUAACUACAUACGAUGGCUUCUUGAAAAUACUUGA
RNAcentral lists this ribosomal RNA (444 nucleotides) under Triticum aestivum (bread wheat). Its description in RNAcentral is "partial small subunit ribosomal RNA". The record is from RNAcentral. Lineage: Eukaryota; Viridiplantae; Streptophyta; Magnoliopsida; Poales; Poaceae.